RNAcentral lists this long non-coding RNA (3003 nucleotides) under Oryctolagus cuniculus (rabbit). RNAcentral describes it as "lncRNA (ENSOCUG00000039646.1)". The record is from RNAcentral. Lineage: Eukaryota; Metazoa; Chordata; Mammalia; Lagomorpha; Leporidae.
CUGCUCUGGGGCGGGGCGGCUGGCUGGGAGUCGGUCAAGUCCUGCUGAACUUACUUCUUUCACCGCUAACAGAAGUGGGGGAUAACCUUGGCUGUGGGCAGUGUGGCAGAAAUGUUGGCGUCUCCUCAGAUUCCUAAUCCGCUGAAAAGGGUCAGCAGUGUUCCAGUUUAGGCUGAUGUCUCCAGAUAGGCACAGUAUGCCUUACGUAAUUUUCAUUUAAGGCAAACAUUUAAUCACUUUGUUUUUAAAUACUGGGCCUAGAAUGUUCUAAGUUUUUGUAAUGGGGAAAAAAUGCCAAUUUAAAAUGUUUGCUUUCAGCAUUUGUCCUGCAAAAUCGGAAUAAAAUGACUGCCUGUUGAGUUUGAUGUGCUGGUUACAAGACACGGUAUUCCGUAGUGUUUCCUGGUUCUCCAGGGCGUCAUUGUCCCACACACCUCGCUCUAGGUGUAGAGCGACAAGUCUGCCUCGACCUAGCCCGCCGGCGGUCGUGCAAGGGCUGCGAGUGGUUGGUUGAUGGUGUAAAGAUGCGGACACAGGUUCACUGUAGGUUUAACGUAGCCCAGCUUGCUCUCUGGAAAGCCUUCUUACCAAUCCAUGGGAGGUCAGACGGUGCCGUGGAAAAGUGGCAGAAGACGCGAGCAACAGAGCUGUGGAGGGGGAAUCCGCUCGGGCGAUGCCGGGCGUCCCGCGCGGGGCAGCUUGGCUGAGCACUUACGUGACUGCCGACAUUUGAGGUUGAUGGAAGUGGGGAAACGGUUGCUUUCAGCAGACAGCUUCGCAGUGCAACGUCAGCCUGAAGAAGCACAGGAACCGCAGCCUGCUCAGCUCCUUCUUCUGCUGCUUCCGGGACCACAGUGCGGAGGCCCCCCCGGCCAGCGGCCCCAGCGCGCUGCCGCCCCUGGUGGAGGAGAACGGCGGGCUCCAGAAGGUCAGUGCCGCGGGGGCUGCGCCCGGCCCCGCUGCUGGCCGCGUCCCUGCCCGUCCCCGGAAGGUGUCCUCGCACACAUGCGCACAUACAGGCAUGCACACACACACGCACACAUGCUCACACGCACAGUGCUGACGGGGGGCUGCGCCCAGCCCCGCUGGCGGCCGCAUCCCUGCCCGUCCCUGACAGGUGUCCUCGUGCACACGCACACACACACGUAACUGGAGAGCACACUUAGUGGGAGUUAUCAGAGUCACUUCACAUUUGUAUCACAUCCUCUUUCAAGAAGUUGAUGCGUGAAGUAGAGUUACAGACCCAUUGGGGCUGGCACUGGUGUUUGUGGCGUAGCAGGUAAGGCCACCUCCCGAGACGCUGGCAUUCUCUACGGGCGCCAGUUCGAGUCCUGGCUGCUCCACUUCCCAACCAGCUCCCUGCUAACGUGCCUGGGAAGAGCAGUGGAGGAGGGCCAAGUCUUCGUGCCCUCCGAUGGGAGACUUUGUGCCUGGGAGACUCAGAUGAAGCGCCAGGCUCCUGGCUUCGGCCUGGCCCAGCCCUGGCCGUGGCGGCCAUCUGGUGAGUGAACCGCUGGAUGGAAGAUCUGUCUCCAUCUCUACUCUCUGUAACUCUGACGUUCAAAAUAAGGAGCCAGCAGCAGACACACAAAUGGAAACCAGGGAGCCACGCACAGGGAAGAGCUGGCCAUCAAUAGAUCUGUAAUGCAGUGUGACUUCCUCGUGGAAUAGCAGUCAUGUGUUAAUAGUCCCUUGUAUGUAUCAGAUUUAAAAAUAGAAGUCAGUGGUCUGCGCCGCAGCUCAAUAGGCUAAUCCUCCACCUUGCGGCGCCGGCACACCGGGUUCUAGUCGGGGCGCCGGAUUCUGUCCCGGUUGCCCCUCUUCCAGGCCAGCUCUCUGCUGUGGCCCGGGAGUGCAGUGGAGGAUGGCCCAAGUGCUUGGGCCCUGCACCCCAUGGGAGACCAGGAGAAGCACCUGGCUCCUGCCUUCGGAUCAGCGCGAUGUGCCAGCCGCGGCGGCCAUUGGAGGGUGAACCAACAGAAAAGGAAGACCUUUCUCUCUCUCUCUCUCACUGUCCACUCUGCCUGUCAAAAAAAAAAAAAAUUAAAAAAAAUAGAAGUCAGAUCGUCACCACAGGUCAAGAACCAAAAUCUCUCCAGGUGCUGAUAGACACACCCCAGACAAAGGCGCACGGCGAGCAAUGAGAUUUAUGACGACGAACCCAGUGCAAAUGGUGGCAGCACAAACCUGUCAAAAGAGAAUUCUGGGUAAAAUCCGCUGGAAGAGGCACAGGGGAUUGUUUGCUUUAGGCUGAAGGUAGAGGACAGAAAGGUCAGAACACUUCAUGUCCCGAACGCCAGGAGCAGGGCGGGAAGACAGCUGGUCAGGUACGGGAGAAGCGGGGAGUGCUGCACGUGGUUAGCAAAGAAGUGCAGGCCAAGACCACGGCACCUUGGCCGCCAGUCACAUCACCAAACCCUCCUGCAGGCGAGGUUUGGAUUUAGCUCGGGGUGGCAGGGGCAGGUGAGGGUGCCGGGUGGUCGUGGGUAAGAGUGCGGCGUGGGUACAGCUCCGCUGGUGACCGUUUGGCCACCUGACCUCCACUGCUGUUUUGUUUUGGUUAUUCAGUGCCAUACUUGUACACUGUUACGGGGCACAUGCAGUUUUUCAGCAAGUGUACCCAGCAUAAGCUGACCCAGCAGUAAUUCCUUACACCUUAAACCUGUCUCUGGCUGUCAGUCAGGCCGGUCCACUUUAUGGACGAAACUGGGCAGCACCGGGCCUGGCGUUGUGGCACAGGGGGUGGACUGCCACUCGAGACAACAGCAUCUGACCCUGGAGAGCUGGCUGGGUCCUGGCCGCACUGCUUCCCACCCACUCCUGGGGAGGCAGCGGAAGAUGGCCCAGUGCCUGGCCUCUGCCACCCCGCUGGGGGACCAGAGAGCUCCAGGAUGGUGCCGGCCUGGCUGGGGCGGCCAUUUGGAGAGUGAAGCAGCAGAUGGAAGACCUCUGGCUCUCUGCCUUUGAAAUAAACAAAUCGACAAAUCCUUUUUUUAUUUAUGA